UACGUAGGGUGCAAGCGUUGUCCGGAUUCACUGGGCGUAAAGGGUGCGUAGGUGGUGAGGUAAGUCGGAUGUGAAAUCUCCGGGCUCAACCCGGAAAUGGCAUUGGAAACUACCUUGCUUGAGGGUUUGAGGGGGGAUUGGAAUACUUGGUGUAGCAGUGAAAUGCGUAGAGAUGUGGAGGAACACCGAUGGCGAAGGCAGCCCCCUGGGUCAAGAUUGACGCUCAUGCACGAAAGCGUGGGGAGCAAACAGG
This 253-nucleotide ribosomal RNA is filed under the name uncultured bacterium. Its description in RNAcentral is "partial 16S ribosomal RNA". It matches the Rfam family "Bacterial small subunit ribosomal RNA", at positions 524 to 776 of the family's 1533-position model. The record is from RNAcentral.